This 4565-nucleotide long non-coding RNA is filed under the name Bemisia tabaci. RNAcentral's name for it is "lncRNA ENSSSA1NGG008634". The record is from RNAcentral. Lineage: Eukaryota; Metazoa; Arthropoda; Insecta; Hemiptera; Aleyrodidae.
UCUGUCUCCUCCAUCUUUAAAAUCAGCCAUAAUUAGAACUUCUACCUAUCAAAUUUCUCAGGUUGAUCAAAAUGUAAGUGUUCCUGAACUACAGUUGCUAGUUUUUAUCCAAUUUUGAAUAUUUUACUCCGGAAGGGAGAUGAAAUUUUUCUAUUUAUUACAGUAUGGCUGCGAUUUUAAUUGGGCCAAAAUUAGUUGAGCUGCGUUAAUGUACGCAAAAUGUGUUUUAAAAGUUUCUGUUCUUUCGGAAGGUAAAGUUCUCAGGGUGUUCCUCAGGACUUCAGUUCGCUUUCCUGCAACAGGAUACAAGAAACUAAGAAUUGUCAUACUGCAAAUUUUAGUCAACUAGGGGUACGCUCCCUGACUGCUUGAAACCACUUGAAGCACUUUGCGCCUCAGGUGUUACGUGUUACUCUUAAAAUUGUAUACUAUCGAGUAAGAUAUACUUUUCUUGUUAAUCUGCACAAUGCUCCAAGGGAUGACAUGGCUUCUCCAGCAAACUUGACAGAGCUGAGAGUAUUAUGAGUAUGCUGUUAGAGAAAUGUCUAAUCUUUUUACAUUGUAUUUCAGGAGAAACAAAUCUGUAGAAAAAAUUGCUUAGAGCAUAGUGCAGAUCAAUAAAGGAAGCAUACCGAUCAUUCCUUACCUUACCUUCCAUCUUUUUUAUUACCUUCCAUCUUUUUUUAUUAAAGUUUCAGGGUACUCGCAUGAUUAAGGUGAUCGGAGUUGGACUCUAUGGCACGGUAGAUGUUAAAUAUAAUGUCGAGAUUAUUUUGCAAAAAUAUACUGAAACCUCUCACGGAGAAUCUUAUGAAGACAAGCUUAUUCUUACUGAAACACAUUAUUGCUCUGACAAAAUUUUCAGGAUUUUUUUUCCGCAACCAAUUGAGGUGGACUGUAGGGCUUCAUAUUGUCUUCGAGUAAAAAUCAAGGGACAAUAUUCAAUGUAUGGAUCUGGCGGUAUUGAAAAUGAAACAACUAUUACUAAAACAGGUGAUAAUGAAGGGGAAACAGUCACCAUAAGCUUCUACAACAUCGAUAAUGCGGUGAUAAAAGAAUCAGACCGUGGAUUUUUGUCCAACGUUACCUGUGGGCAGAUUCCAGAAUUGCUCUUUGAGCCGUGAAACAUUUAUCAGUACUCGGGUCUGUGUGCAGACUAGCUUUAGUAUUCUUACAUUCUUUAAAGUUUUAUUCAGUUUGUACUUAAUGUUUUAAUGUUAUUGACAAAGGUAUUCUAACUACUGCUGCUGAUUAGCUCAAACUUUUUUUACUGAUUCUCUUAAUGGUUUUAGACACCUGUUCGUUUGUUUUUUUAGACAAGAUUUAAAAGCAAUGCAAAAAGUGGCAGUAACUCAUAUUUUGAGCAGAGCCGCAUGCAUAGAUAAGAACCAGUAGUCUGUAGCAAAGCAAACUGCUAUGUUUGAUAGCAGUGUCCCACCCCAAUAGAGUCACUGACUCAAAGUUUAGUAGUCAAGUUUAAUCCCUGCUGCACAGGUUUUGAUCUUACUGGAAUUCAAUGUAAUAUUCAAUUUAUGAGGUGUCGUAUAAUAUUUGACCAAAUGUGAGACAGACAUAUGAGCAAUUCUCAGCGCGAGAAUCCAACCAUGUAUGCAGGCAAAUAUCAAACCAGGCAUUUUGUCAAGUGCCCAGACAGAGAGUAAAAUAAUCUUUCUUGAAUUUUAAUUUUGUUUUAUUUGCUAAUUUUAGAAUGAAUAAUUACUUACUAGUUUUGAAAAAAUUUACCAUGAAAUGUAAAUCAUACAACGGUAUCUACUAAGAUCUUUUGCCUUGAACUGAGAUUUGUCUCAAAAUUUACAGUCUCAUUAAGUACAGGAUUUUUUCAAGUUUUACAGUUAAAACAUGUGAGGAGCAUCUAGAGAGGAAUAUACAAUGAAAUUUUGUAGAUUUGAUACAUUUUCACUCUAUAAACGUUGAGAACUUGAGAGCUCCUCGUCAAAAACAUCUUAAACUUCGGAAAUGGUAAAAAUUUGACUGUCUACUUGAUAAAAUGCCUGAUCUGACUAAUUUGACUAAUAGCCCCUUUUAACCAGAUUGGUCUGGGUAAGUUGCACUGCUCAAAACUUGAAUUCUUCUAAUUUUAAUGAUUUCUGAGGGCUUAAAAGUAAACACGAAUUUAAUGAAAUUGUUAACGAAACGUCAACAUCAUAUUGUUUAACAAAAGCGAAUGGAGAGCUAAAUUUCAAUAUAGUGGUCUGUUUCAUUCAAGCGAUACAGCCAAGUGAUCUAAUCCACAGGUAAAAUCUUUUGUAUUUCCUGAGGGCACAUCAUUAAAGUCUGCAUUCCCUUCUUUAUGAGCAAUUUUCGCAUCUGUGACAUGCUUUUUCAAAUUUUCCGAGUUUGAGAGUUUUUUUGGCUCUGGCGACCAGGUUUGCCUAGAAGGAGAUGUUUGAAGUCCUUGUCAAAAUAAUAUAAUCUUGCAAACUAUCUCUUGCGUUGAUUUCAAUCGUUUUCAAGCGUUUGUUUGCUCCUUAUUUCUUCGUGUUGCAAAAACAAGAAGUAUAAAUCAAGAAAUUAUCCACAAGAAAAGGUUUUAAGAGUUUACGAGUUCGGUCUUUUAGGUCAGAUUUUCUUGCAUCUCCAUCUGGGCCAACCUAAUUGCUGACCACCAAGAAAAACUGCCCUCAGACGCAGCAAAUUCGUAAUAACGUGUUACGAACAAAAUACAUCGAUAAAGCACUGAAAAUACACACCUGACUCUUCGAUGAGCUCAUCAAGAUUUGAUGGGAUUUUACCCAUAGACAAUCAAUUCAUUUGUCUGAAUCUCUUGUGUCCAAUGGACCCACUUAGGGCCGCAUCUCAUUCUCAAGACAUUUUUCCAAUCAAGUAAGUGCCUUAAACUGAAUAUGUCUUAUUUCCAAACUAGAUUCUUGUUUUGCAUUUAAUUUAAUCAUUCAACUUUAUGACAUAAAAACAUAGUCCACCCGUCUUAAAAAAUGGAUCCUAAGCUGAAUCAUUUUAUGGAAAUUUUAAUCUGUCUUAGUGGCUCAAGAGAAGAACCUAAGAACAAGUGUAAUCAGAUGCAUUAUCCAAUGGGAACGCAGACACUGACAAAUGGACCGCGUUAGCAGAAAGGAACCAAGCCACAUCAGCCAUUGACAAUUCAAUUGGGCAAUUCAAUCUUUGACAUGAAAACGGUUUUAAGGAGUUUUGUGCAAAUUCAUGUGAAUUUUCUGCAUAUUAUGAAGCAAUUUACUUUAAGUUUUCAAAGGGAUCCGCAGAAAUGUUCUCUCGUAAAAGUUUAUUGCCCGGUUAAAUUUAGCAAUAGCUGAUGUGGCUUGGUUUCUUUCUGCUAAAUACGGUCUAAGCACUUCCUGCGGUCAAGUAGCCGGAGAGUAUUCCUGAAAGUUUCAAUCUGGAAAAUAAAUUAGAACAGACUUAGAAGGGUGUCAAGUUGACACCUCCACGGUAUAUUUUCAGCCAGUCAACCAUCUGAGUUUUAGUUGGCGCCACAAUCUAGGAUCCACACUACCUGUAGUUAAAGAAGUGGUCGCGCAACAUCAGUUCCAAUGAUUCAUUAUGAAAAUGAGACAGUAUGGCAAGGAUCCAUUUUAAGCAUAUAUGUAGUGGAAAGUUUUCAGAAAUUUUUUCAGCCCUCAAAAGUCAGCACAGUAUGUCUCAUGACACGUGUCUGUCAUCUGUGUGUUUGUAUGUAACUUGAUUGUGUCUACUCACAUGUCUCCAUUAUUGUAAUUUUUAGGCUGUAAGUAUAUUCAAUUUUUGUGCUAAAUUUAUCUAUUACCAAGUGCCAUUAUAUGUUCGAUUUAUUGCCUUCUAAUUUAUCCUAAUGACUGCACCUGCAGUCUCAUCUAAAAUAUUUAAGUCAAGACUAAAAUUCUGCUUAUAUCUUGUAUUAUCAAAUUUGAAUGAAAUUAAUGGAAAGCUACCCCAGAUUGUUGUUGCAACCAAUUAUUAUCCGAUUGCAUAAAUAUUAAAUAUUGAAAAUUUUUUAACCGAAGAAUGAUUCAUCUCCUCAGAAUGCCUAUUUGCCAGUUAAUGCUAGUAAAAGGAGAGAACACAAACAAUAGGUUUGGUAAGAAUUCAAUUUUAUGAUAGGUUUAACCCUGUACUCUUUAAGUGAAUCCUCAUUAUGCCUUAUGUGACCUAUCAAAGCCUAUCUAAACUUUUAAUUAGAACCAUUAAAUUUCUUCCGGACAGUUCUUUCAAGUUUUUCACUACUAAAUCAUAUUUUUCUCUCCAGCUGCCUUUUCUAUUCUAUGAAUAUAAUCGUGUUGUCCCCAACUUUAAUUGUGUAUUUUUUAAUGUUUGCAUUUUUAUUUUUCUACAUUUCUUUUUAUUUCUCUACAUUACACGUUUAUUUUUUUCUACUUUAUAUGUUUUUAUGCUCAUUGUUCAUUUAUUCUUCUAUGUUACGUAUAAUGUUACCCAUGUUAAUUAAAAUUGUUCAAUUUCAAAACUGCUCUGAUUUUAUGCCCUCCUGAAACCUCAUCAUAUAAAUAGGAUAGUUCACGUUCUUGGAAAGUUCAAUGUCCCAUUAAUUUUUGCAGGAAUAACCUAACAACAUUCUGUUCUUCUUUAAUGACCGA